UAGGGCGGCCGACCCUGUAUCCGGACCCUGACCUGCGAGUAGCGGUGGGGGGUCGGGGCUGUGUGGUGAAAUUGCUGCCGUCUAGUGCGCUCGUGGGUUAAAUUCAUCUCCAGCGUAAUCCCUGGGAUGUGUGAUCUCAAAGUGGGAUUUCUUUCAAGCUGUUCUUGCUGCAAGUGAUGAAGAUGGGCUGUAAAGAGGUGGGCUCAGAAAAGAUGAUGCACACAGGGCUGUUUCAUGGUGCUGCUGGAGUGCUCCCUGGGAUGCAAGCAUGCAGACAUCACAGACAAAUCUAUGUGUGCACCAGUGCCUCCCUGCUGCGCUCCAGCUUCCACGCUCACCUGGGGACGUCCAACCUGUGGGGUCAAAGCUGUUUUCCCUACAUUCUUCCUUUUCACCAUCCUGCUCAUCCUUUGUGUGAUCUUCUGGUACAUCAGUACGAGUGGGAACAACGAAGAUGCCUGAGUGCAGGCAGGCUGGGAGGCUGGACUCAGCACCGAGCCCAGGGCUCACAAGUACUGUGGUGUCCAAGCUGAGUGCAUUCAUGUGCAUGUCUGUGUAGGAACCCUGGGAAAUCACUGCCUGGCCUUGCCGCUGGCGAAUGUCAGUGGUGUUACCACUCAGAGCCCAAUUAAGUGCUUUUCUUCUCUCCUUCUGACUGCUAAGUUUCUUUAGUUUGCUUAUAGCCUGUUCAGAUAGUCUUUUAUUUUGGAUAUUUUAUUUAUAUCUGGGAAGUUCAUAAGUAUCCCUAGGGCUGCUAUGGGGUUUCAGAGCCAAGCAACAGAGAGCAGAGCAGUUGAGAAGUGGCUACUGAAGGAUGUAUGUUCAUUUUUGUCAAGCCCAGUAAAACAAAAAACAAACUGACACGGGGAGCAGACAGCAGGCUAUGGUAUCAGUCACCUCCAUUCAACCCCUUUCAGCUAAAUCUAAUAGCUUAGAAAUGAAAAAUAUUUAUUUUCCUGAUUUGAGCAAUUAGUCAAAAUGCUUCUUCACAAUGCCAUCCAAAUGUUUAUGAUGCUGUGAGAAAGCAGCUAAUAGCUCAUAAUACGUAGAGCAGAGCCGUUAGAGAGAAAACAACAGCAGUACUUUCUACUGUAGAUUAGACAGUCCAUCUUUCCAUCCAAACUUGAUUCAUUUGAGAUUAAUGAUGAUCUGUUUGCCUUUUUUUUUCCUUGCUCAUAGGCAAUAGGGUAUUAGAAGAGACAUCAUUAAUUGUAAUAUCCUACUUUCCUUCCAUUACAUUGUCAGUUGAAGUUGUUACUUUCAGAUAACCUGAAACUCACAUUAUUAGCCAUAAUUAAAUUCCUAUUAAAUUCUUGCCUAAAAUGAGGUGAAGUACUUUUGAAUUUAAAAUAGUAAUUAAUCUAACUGUAAGUUGUGUGCCUGAAUACAAUUUUCUUUCUGUGUUCCAGUGGACUUCUGUGUAAAGGUGGAAAUGUUAUCCAUUAAUAGUUAAUUUUGCAUAGCCACUGGUCUGGACUAGCAGCCUUUCCCUACAACAAGUGUAAAGUUUAUUAAAAUUUGAUCGCGUGUAAGAAGGGCAUGUAAAUAUCAGCUGAGUUAUUCAUGUACAUAUGCAUCCCCUUAUUUGUCCAUUUUCUGCAGUGUUCAAUGUCUGGCAUGAUCAAGCCCAAAAUUAGAGGGCUCUGUAGUUUAGAGGUUCAGUUAAACCCAUCUGCCAGAAGAUUACAGAGAAGGACUUGUCCCACAAGCAUCUGUGACUUCAGAACAACUCCUCUAAGUUUACUUGGAAGUACUGAGAAGGAGGUACCUAUAUUUUCAG
Centrocercus urophasianus (Greater sage-grouse) is the source of this 1780-nucleotide long non-coding RNA. RefSeq lists it as uncharacterized. The record is from RefSeq and is a predicted model, not a curated record. NCBI's taxonomy places the organism in Eukaryota, Metazoa, Chordata, Aves, Galliformes, Phasianidae. The transcript is spliced from 2 exons.